GCGGUUUUAGCUCAGUUGGUAGAGUGCUUGCAUGACAUGCAAGUGGUCACAGGUUCAAGUCCUGUAAACCGCACCA
Molecule: transfer RNA, 76 nt
Filed under: Deltaproteobacteria bacterium
Lineage: Bacteria; Pseudomonadati; Myxococcota; Myxococcia
Description: tRNA-Val
Rfam family: tRNA
About the family: Transfer RNA (tRNA) molecules are approximately 80 nucleotides in length. Their secondary structure includes four short double-helical elements and three loops (D, anti-codon, and T loops). Further hydrogen bonds mediate the characteristic L-shaped molecular structure. tRNAs have two regions of fundamental functional importance: the anti-codon, which is responsible for specific mRNA codon recognition, and the 3' end, to which the tRNAs corresponding amino acid is attached (by aminoacyl-tRNA synthetases). tRNAs cope with the degeneracy of the genetic code in two manners: having more than one tRNA (with a specific anti-codon) for a particular amino acid; and 'wobble' base-pairing, i.e. permitting non-standard base-pairing at the 3rd anti-codon position.
Source: RNAcentral